This 237-nucleotide ribosomal RNA is filed under the name uncultured Staphylococcus sp. RNAcentral describes it as "partial 16S ribosomal RNA". It matches the Rfam family "Bacterial small subunit ribosomal RNA", at positions 103 to 334 of the family's 1533-position model. The record is from RNAcentral. Lineage: Bacteria; Bacillati; Bacillota; Bacilli; Caryophanales; Staphylococcaceae.
CGGGUGAGUAACACGUGGAUAACCUACCUAUAAGACUGGGAUAACUUCGGGAAACCGGAGCUAAUACCGGAUAAUAUUUUGAACCGCAUGGUUCAAAAGUGAAAGACGGUCUUGCUGUCACUUAUAGAUGGAUCCGCGCUGCAUUAGCUAGUUGGUAAGGUAACGGCUUACCAAGGCAACGAUGCAUAGCCGACCUGAGAGGGUGAUCGGCCGCACUGGAACUGAGGCACGGUCCAG